Long non-coding RNA from Perca flavescens (yellow perch), 373 nucleotides. RefSeq lists it as uncharacterized. The transcript has 3 exons. The record is from RefSeq and is a predicted model, not a curated record. NCBI's taxonomy places the organism in Eukaryota, Metazoa, Chordata, Actinopteri, Perciformes, Percidae.
GAUGUGAGGAAGAAGUACUGCCACUUGUUCCUCAGUGCUUUGCAGUCACCAUUUCAAGGAAGGAGAUUUUGAUAGGACAGGUCAGAUUGUUCGACUCCGAGAUGGUGUUAUUCCAUCCGUCUUCAGCUUCCCAGUUCACCUCCAAAGAUUGGAAAAGGGCAGGGCUACGUCUACCUCCAGAAGAGCUGAAGAAAGCCUGUCCGUGGCCUCUCAGGAUUCCCAAGAAAUGUCAACCUCACACCCACAACCUCAGCCUAAUGAUGAUCAUGGCUAUGCCUUGCCUGCUUCUCCUACCGCUCUUAAGACCAGACUCAAUGAGGCCUUGGCAAGAGUGGAAAGUCUGGAGCGAGACAAGAAGAAUGCCAUGGCCAGA